GAUGAAGAACGCAGCGAAAUGCGAUAAGUAAUGUGAAUUGCAGAAUUCAUUGAAUCAUCGAAUCUUUGAACGCACAUUGCGCCCGCCAGUAUUCUGGCGGGCAUGCCUGUUCGAGCGUCAUUUCAACCAUCAAGCCCCCGGCUUGUGUUGGGGACCUGCGGCUGCCGCAGGCCCUGAAAACCAGUGGCGGGCUCGCUAGUCACUCCGAGCGUAGUAAUACAUCUCGCUCAGGGCGUGCUGCGGGUUCCGGCCGUUAAAAAGCCUUAUUUACCCAAGGUUGACCUCGGAUCAGGUAGGAAGACCCGCUGAACUUAAGCAUAUCAAUAAGCGGAGGA
RNAcentral lists this unclassified non-coding RNA (335 nucleotides) under soil metagenome. RNAcentral describes it as "partial contains 5.8S ribosomal RNA, internal transcribed spacer 2, and large subunit ribosomal RNA". The stretch from base 1 to 120 matches the Rfam family "5.8S ribosomal RNA", at positions 35 to 154 of the family's 154-position model. The record is from RNAcentral.